UGAACGCUGGCGGCAUGCCUUACACCUGCAAGUCGAACGGCAGCGCGGGAGCAAUCCUGGCGGCGAGUGGCGAACGGGUGAGUAAUACAUCGGAACGUGCCCAAUCGUGGGGGAUAACGCAGCGAAAGCUGUGCUAAUACCGCAUACGAUCUACGGAUGAAAGCAGGGGAUCGCAAGACCUUGCGCGAAUGGAGCGGCCGAUGGCAGAUUAGGUAGUUGGUGAGGUAAAGGCUCACCAUGCCUUCGAUCUGUAGCUGGUCUGAGAGGACGACCAGCCACACUGGGACUGAGACACGGCCCAGACUCCUACGGGAGGCAGCAGUGGGGAAUUUUGGACAAUGGGCGCAAGCCUGAUCCAGCCAUGCCGCGUGCAGGAUGAAGGCCUUCGGGUUGUAAACUGCUUUUGUACGGAACGAAACGGCCUUUUCUAAUAAAGAGGGCUAAUGACGGUACCGUAAGAAUAAGCACCGGCUAACUACGUGCCAGCAGCCGCGGUAAUACGUAGGGUGCAAGCGUUAAUCGGAAUUACUGGGCGUAAAGCGUGCGCAGGCGGUAAUGUAAGACAGUUGUGAAAUCCCCGGGCUCAACCUGGGAACUGCAUCUGUGACUGCAUUGCUGGAGUACGGCAGAGGGGGAUGGAAUUCCGCGUGUAGCAGGUGAAAUGCGUAGAUAUGCGGAGGAACACCGAGGGCGAGGGCAGGUCCCCUGGGCCAUGUACUGACGCUCAGGCACGAGGGGCGUGGGGAGCAAACAGGAGGAGAGACCCUGGUG
RNAcentral lists this ribosomal RNA (771 nucleotides) under uncultured bacterium. RNAcentral's name for it is "bacterial SSU rRNA". It matches the Rfam family "Bacterial small subunit ribosomal RNA", at positions 30 to 792 of the family's 1533-position model. The record is from RNAcentral.